GAGGGUAUAGCUCAGUGGUAAAGUAUGCACUUAGCAGGCACAAGGUCCUGGGUUCAAUCCCCACUACCUCCA
RNAcentral lists this transfer RNA (72 nucleotides) under Camelus bactrianus (Bactrian camel). It matches the Rfam family "tRNA". Rfam says of the family: Transfer RNA (tRNA) molecules are approximately 80 nucleotides in length. Their secondary structure includes four short double-helical elements and three loops (D, anti-codon, and T loops). RNAcentral also lists the same sequence under 2 other names. Lineage: Eukaryota; Metazoa; Chordata; Mammalia; Artiodactyla; Camelidae. The record is from Rfam by way of RNAcentral.